This 485-nucleotide ribosomal RNA is filed under the name uncultured bacterium. RNAcentral describes it as "partial 16S ribosomal RNA". It matches the Rfam family "Bacterial small subunit ribosomal RNA", at positions 30 to 507 of the family's 1533-position model. The record is from RNAcentral.
UUGAACGCUGGCGGCAUGCCUUACACAUGCAAGUCGAACGGCAGCACGGGUGCUUGCACCUGGUGGCGAGUGGCGAACGGGUGAGUAAUACAUCGGAACAUGUCCUGUAGUGGGGGAUAGCCCGGCGAAAGCCGGAUUAAUACCGCAUACGAUCUACGGAUGAAAGCGGGGGACCUUCGGGCCUCGCGCUAUAGGGUUGGCCGAUGGCUGAUUAGCUAGUCGGUGGGGUAAAGGCCUACCAAGGCGACGAUCAGUAGCUGGUCUGAGAGGACGACCAGCCACACUGGGACUGAGACACGGCCCAGACUCCUACGGGAGGCAGCAGUGGGGAAUUUUGGACAAUGGGCGAAAGCCUGAUCCAGCAAUGCCGCGUGUGUGAAGAAGGCCUUCGGGUUGUAAAGCACUUUUGUCCGGAAAGAAAUCCUUGGCCCUAAUACGGUCGGGGGAUGACGGUACCGGAAGAAUAAGCACCGGCUAACUACGUG